AUAGCUAAUAAUCCUUUAUACAUAAUUAUAGGCUUACAACUAAAUAAUAAGCCUAUUCGAGUAAGUCCAUCUUCUCAUUUACUACUAAGGCCCAAUCACCAAGUUUACUGUUUAAACCCAUGUUUAAACCCAUCAGAGAUUUAAUAGGCCCAAACAUUAUUAAGUCUAAUCAUAAUUAACCAUUUUAUAAGAAAUUAAAUAGAGUUAAAAUCUAGAGUCUUCUAAAUGAAAUCAGAUCUCUCUUCCUCUGCUCAGUGCUCACACGCGUUCUCUCUCUCUUUCUCAGUUCUCUCAGCUGCGUCUCUCACUCUCCCUCUCCUUUUCACCCGGCGACGCCGCCGGUCCUCGCCGCCUCCGGCGCGGCGAGGCCGGCUCCUCUCCUUCCUCCCCCUCUUCUUCCUCUUUCUUUCCUAAUUUCUCUCAAAUCUCUAAAAUUCCUAACUUAUAUAUAGGGUUUCUGUCUCUCUUUUCCUCUCUGAGAUUCGUCCCUCCGGUAAUCCCUGCCGCACCGCCGUCGUCUCCGACGCACCACCGGCCUCUGCAUCCCAGAAAUCGAUGCUCUUCGAUGAACAUCGCCGGCGGCAGGCGUCACCGGUCCGACGAGGCAGCCUUGGUUUUACUGUGGCUGUUCGAAUUUCAUUCUCUUGUAUAUACUCAGUUAUUAACUCCUUGUAAAACUGGAAUUUCUUGUAAAAAUUACUCUAGAUGCUAACGAGAUUGUAUUAUUGUUUUGUA
Salvia miltiorrhiza (redroot sage) is the source of this 735-nucleotide long non-coding RNA. RefSeq lists it as uncharacterized. The transcript is spliced from 2 exons. The record is from RefSeq and is a predicted model, not a curated record. NCBI's taxonomy places the organism in Eukaryota, Viridiplantae, Streptophyta, Magnoliopsida, Lamiales, Lamiaceae.